Molecule: unclassified non-coding RNA, 353 nt
Filed under: soil metagenome
Description: partial contains 5.8S ribosomal RNA, internal transcribed spacer 2, and large subunit ribosomal RNA
Rfam family: 5.8S ribosomal RNA (bases 1-120)
Source: RNAcentral
GAUGAAGAACGCAGCGAAAUGCGAUAAGUAGUGUGAAUUGCAGAAUUCCGUGAAUCAUCGAAUCUUUGAACGCACAUUGCGCCUCCUGGUAAUCCGUGAGGCAUGCCUGUCCGAGCGUCAGUAAAAAGCAACUCGGCCGCGGCUGGCGGUUGGUGAUGGAGGAAGAGCACAUCUCGUUGUCGGUCUCCCCUCCCAAAAUCAACGGCGGAAGGUCACUGGCACUCGGUGUUGUAGUAUUAUUCGCCGAUCACCCAUUGUUGUUCCUGCCGCCCAAACCCCCACAACAUUCUCUUGAUUGACCUCGGAUCAGGUAGGGAUACCCGCUGAACUUAAGCAUAUCAAUAAGCGGAGGA